CUGCUCACCAGGGCCUGAUCCUCUCCAUGUGGUGUUGACCUGCUCUCCUUGAGCAAGAGAAUCAGGACUGGCUUGGGGUGUCCUGCCUGAGCAGACGUGGGUGCAGUGACGUGUGGGGCA
RNAcentral lists this non-coding RNA (120 nucleotides) under Dipodomys ordii (Ord's kangaroo rat). Lineage: Eukaryota; Metazoa; Chordata; Mammalia; Rodentia; Heteromyidae. The record is from RNAcentral.